GUUGCCAAAUUAGCAUUGCUGGUGUCCCUUCAAUGAUCUUUGAGCCUGUCCUUGGGGUUCUUCACUGUGGCUUCCACAUGUGGCUCUUCUGUCCCUCUCUCUUGGUCCCGGAGGGGAGUCUGGUAGACCUCUGUUUUUUCACAUUCACUCCUCUUGUCCUUUUCUUCCGUAAUAUAUUGGGGAUCGUGGGGGUCUCUUGUACGCGCAUCUGCUUCUUUUCUUCUUCAGGAUGUUUUUUUGCCACUGGGAAGUCCCUUAUAGCUUCCGGGACUGCUGUGUAGGCUGUGCUUUGUUCUGGCGGGCUC
This 305-nucleotide long non-coding RNA is filed under the name Androctonus crassicauda. The record is from RNAcentral. Lineage: Eukaryota; Metazoa; Arthropoda; Arachnida; Scorpiones; Buthidae.